GAUGAACGCUGGCGGCGUGCCUAAUACAUGCAAGUCGAGCGAACGGACGAGAAGCUUGCUUCUCUGAUGUUAGCGGCGGACGGGUGAGUAACACGUGGAUACCCUACCUAUAAGACUGGGAUAACUUCGGAAAACCGGAGCUAAUACCGGAUAAUAUUUUGAACCGAAUGGUUCAAAAGUGAAAGACGGUCUUGCUGUCACUUAUAGAUGGAUCCGCGCUGCAUUAGCUAGUUGGUAAGGUAACGGCUUACAAAGGCAACGAUGCAUAGCCGACCUGAGAGGGUGAUCGGCCACACUGGAACUGAGACACGGUCCAGACUCCUACGGGAGGCAGCAGUAGGGAAUCUUCCGCAAUGGGCGAAAGCCUGACGGAGCAACGCCGCGUGAGUGAUGAAGGUCUUCGGAUCGUAAAACUCUGUUAUUAGGGAAGAACAUAUGUGUAAGUAACUGUGCACAUCUUGACGGUACCUAAUCAGAAAGCCACGGCUAACUACGUG
Molecule: ribosomal RNA, 497 nt
Filed under: uncultured bacterium
Lineage: Bacteria
Description: partial 16S ribosomal RNA
Rfam family: Bacterial small subunit ribosomal RNA
Source: RNAcentral